UUCACUGUUGAUGGAGUUCCACUAGCUUUGUCUGCAUCAGUUCAUCAAGCCAUGAUUCAGAAAGAUGGAGGGUCAAACAAUCAUGAUCAGUCGUGCUAGCCCGGUCACUGCCGAACCCGCCGGAGCCACCACCAGCGCUGCCGUCUGUGCCACAUCUCAAAGACUUAUCUAACCAAAACAGUGAGUGGCAAACCAAGGCAUCUCCAGUGGCAAAGGACUGUGAUGGAAUCCCCGCUGAUUUGCCAUUUCAAUUCAUCUUUAGAAUAAAGUGGGAAUUCCAAUUAUUAUCGAUUAAUCUUCUAUUCACUACCAAAUAAAUGAUGCAACCUUCACAUCUCCACCUCUUCUUCAGCGAAGUACACGAGACUUCAUCCUGCUUGGGCGCCCUUCAUAUAUUGACCCUUGGUCCAGUGUAUAACUUCCCAUAUUCUAGAAUCGGUUCAUCCGGUUCAACCCAUCUGCGUUACCUUGUGCAAUCAUUCCCAUGGCAGCAUCAACAAGAC
This 503-nucleotide long non-coding RNA is filed under the name Vitis vinifera (wine grape). Its description in RNAcentral is "long non-coding RNA (VVIN_LNC003568)". Lineage: Eukaryota; Viridiplantae; Streptophyta; Magnoliopsida; Vitales; Vitaceae. The record is from RNAcentral.